GAUGAACGCUGGCGGCGUGCCUAAUACAUGCAAGUCGAGCGAACAGACGAGGAGCUUGCUCCUCUGACGCUAGCGGCGGACGGGUGAGUAACACGUGGAUAACCUACCUAUAAGACUGGGAUAACUUCGGGAAACCGGAGCUAAUACCGGAUAAUAUAUUGAACCGCAUGGUUCAAUAGUGAAAGACGGUUUUGCUGUCACUUAUAGAUGGAUCCGCGCCGCAUUAGCUAGUUGGUAAGGUAACGGCUUACCAAGGCAACGAUGCGUAGCCGACCUGAGAGGGUGAUCGGCCACAUUGGGACUGAGACACGGCCCAAACUCCUACGGGAGGCAGCAGUAGGGAAUCUUCGGCAAUGGACGAAAGUCUGACCGAGCAACGCCGCGUGAGUGAAGAAGGUUUUCGGAUCGUAAAACUCUGUUGGUAGAGAAGAACGUUGGUGAGAGUGGAAAGCUCAUCAAGUGACGGUAACUACCCAGAAAGGGACGGCUAACUACGUG
This 498-nucleotide ribosomal RNA is filed under the name uncultured bacterium. RNAcentral's name for it is "partial 16S ribosomal RNA". It matches the Rfam family "Bacterial small subunit ribosomal RNA", at positions 28 to 507 of the family's 1533-position model. The record is from RNAcentral.